AUACGUAGGGGGCGAGCGUUGUCCGGAAUGAUUGGGCGUAAAGGGCGCGUAGGCGGCGCGGUAAGUCUGGAGUGAAAGUCCUGCUUUCAAGGUGGGAAUUGCUUUGGAUACUGCCGCGCUUGAGUGCAGGAGAGGUUAUCGGAAUUCCCGGUGUAGCGGUGAAAUGCGUAGAGAUCGGGAGGAACACCAGUGGCGAAGGCGGGUAACUGGACUGCAACUGACGCUGAGGCGCGAAAGUGUGGGGAACAAACAGGAUUAGAUACCCUGGUAGUCCACACUGUAAACGAUGAAUGCUAGGUGUAGGGGGUAUCGACCCCUUCUGUGCCGCAGUCAACACAAUAAGCAUUCCGCCUGGGGAGUACGGCCGCAAGGUUGAAACUCAAAUGAAUUGACGGGG
This 397-nucleotide ribosomal RNA is filed under the name uncultured bacterium. Its description in RNAcentral is "partial 16S ribosomal RNA". It matches the Rfam family "Bacterial small subunit ribosomal RNA", at positions 523 to 918 of the family's 1533-position model. The record is from RNAcentral.